GACGAACGCUGGCGGCGUGCUUAACACAUGCAAGUCGAACGGUGAACGAGGGAGCUUGCUCCCUCCGGAUCAGUGGCGAACGGGUGAGUAACACGUGAGCAAUCUGCCCCGAACUCUUGGAUAAGCGUUGGAAACGACGUCUAAUACCGGAUACGACGCGGGGGGGCAUCCUCUCCGCGUGGAAAGAACUUCGGUUCGGGAUGAGCUCGCGGCCUAUCAGCUUGUUGGUGAGGUAACGGCUCACCAAGGCGACGACGGGUAGCCGGCCUGAGAGGGUGACCGGCCACACUGGGACUGAGACACGGCCCAGACUCCUACGGGAGGCAGCAGUGGGGAAUAUUGCACAAUGGGCGCAAGCCUGAUGCAGCAACGCCGCGUGAGGGACGACGGCCUUCGGGUUGUAAACCUCUUUUAGCAGGGAAGAAGCGAAAGUGACGGUACCUGCAGAAAAAGCACCGGCUAACUACGUG
RNAcentral lists this ribosomal RNA (470 nucleotides) under uncultured bacterium. RNAcentral describes it as "partial 16S ribosomal RNA". It matches the Rfam family "Bacterial small subunit ribosomal RNA", at positions 28 to 507 of the family's 1533-position model. The record is from RNAcentral.